RNAcentral lists this ribosomal RNA (208 nucleotides) under Phenacobius crassilabrum. RNAcentral describes it as "partial 16S ribosomal RNA". It matches the Rfam family "Bacterial large subunit ribosomal RNA", at positions 797 to 1052 of the family's 2925-position model. Lineage: Eukaryota; Metazoa; Chordata; Actinopteri; Cypriniformes; Leuciscidae. The record is from RNAcentral.
GAGUGGGAAGAGCUCCGGGUAGAAGUGAUAGACUUACCGAACCUGGUGAUAGCUGGUUGCCUAGAAAAUGAAUAGAAGUUCAGCCUCGUCCACCCUUUGUCAGAGAAUAUAUUGUUAAGACACCUUGGAAAUAUACGAGAGUUAGUUGAAGGGGGUACAGCCCCUUUAACAAAGGAUACAACCUUCGCAGGAGGAUAAAGAUCAUAAU